Long non-coding RNA from Passer domesticus (house sparrow), 1018 nucleotides. RefSeq lists it as uncharacterized. Lineage: Eukaryota; Metazoa; Chordata; Aves; Passeriformes; Passeridae. The record is from RefSeq and is a predicted model, not a curated record. The transcript has 6 exons.
AGGCAAGACCUCUGUGUGAGUAAAAUUUAGAACCAACCACAGGAGUCAGGCUGAACUUGUAGGAACUCUGACCUGUGGAGCCAGCUACUGGAGUGGUGUCAUAAUACCAGGAACUAGAGUGAGUUGGAGCCUUUAACCUCCAUUCACUGGAGCAGGAAUGGUAUGCACCCUAAAAACCACCUGUGGAGAAAUCAACAUGACAAGAGUUGACUGAGAUGCUCAGUGCUGGCAGCUGAAGCAGACUGAUAGUGACAGCUCAGGGGUCUUGUGCCAGCUAUCUGUUCACUAGCCCACAAGAAUCUUGGUGCCUGUCCAAGCAUGCUGGGUUUGCCACGUGAUUGCUAAACACUUUCAAAAGGUAGCAUCUAUACAAUUUCCCAAUAUAUCCAUGGACAGAAGAAACCCAGAAACAGUGGAAUCGCAGAGCACAGGAGAACUCCAGAUCCUGGUGACGCACCAUAACACCUGCUCUGUCACCAGGCACGGGCUUUGGAAAAGGUGAUCAUAGCACCAAGAGAGCAGGAGCAAACUAAGAAGUAAUGAAAAUGUUCUGCUGAAAGUGGCAACGCCAUUAAAGGGCAAUUCUUGCUCUUAGCUUGAGUUUUGCUAGAGCUUCUGAACUGGUACAACAUCCUGCCUUAUCACAUACUCUGAAGGAAAUUAGUUGGAGAAGACCUCUAUUUCCAGUUUUUCUGCAACUGGCCUCAAUCCUGUGGCUGAAGCUGUUAGAGUGAAGAUACCUGGCUUGCUACUUGUCCUUGAUCACCAGCCACAGUUGCAUUCCAGGAGAGGAUACCACUGAGUAAAGCUUUUACUUCCAUGUCUACUGUACUGCCUGAAGCAAGCCAUUAUAUUCAAUGUUCUGGGCUGCCAGCUGCAAGUCAGAAAGGAGAUGCAGAGUAUGUGAACGGACAAAAUAUGAGAUAAUGUACCAAAAUUCAUUUCAGAAUCAUGAGGGUAUGAUAAUUUUUCCCACUCUCAUUACAGGAAUACAGGAAUAUUGGUUAAGGAGCAGAGU